This 347-nucleotide ribosomal RNA is filed under the name uncultured bacterium. RNAcentral's name for it is "bacterial SSU rRNA". It matches the Rfam family "Bacterial small subunit ribosomal RNA", at positions 958 to 1303 of the family's 1533-position model. The record is from RNAcentral.
AACGCGAAGAACCUUACCAGGGCUUGACAUCCCGCGAACCCUGUGGAAACACGGGGGUGCCCUUCGGGGAGCGCGGAGACAGGUGGUGCAUGGUUGUCGUCAGCUCGUGUCGUGAGAUGUUGGGUUAAGUCCCGCAACGAGCGCAACCCCUGCCCUGUGUUGCCAGCACUUCGGGUGGGCACUCACAGGGGACUGCCGGUGAAAAACCGGAGGAAGGUGGGGAUGACGUCAAAUCAUCAUGCCCCUUAUGCCCUGGGCUACACACGUGCUACAAUGGCCGGUACAAAGGGAAGCGACGCCGCGAGGCGGAGCGGAUCCCAAAAAGCCGGUCCCAGUUCGGAUCGCAG